Molecule: ribosomal RNA, 474 nt
Filed under: uncultured bacterium
Lineage: Bacteria
Description: partial 16S ribosomal RNA
Rfam family: Bacterial small subunit ribosomal RNA
Source: RNAcentral
GAUGAACGCUAGCGGCAGGCCUAACACAUGCAAGUCGAGGGAGGAGCUUUCGGGCUUCGACCGGCGUACGGGUGCGUAACGCGUAUACAAUCUGCGUUUCACAUAGGGAUAGCCCGAAGAAAUUUGGAUUAAUACCUAAUGGUAUAUAGGAGUGGCAUCACAUUUAUAUUAAAGCUGAGGCGGUGAAAGAUGAGUAUGCGUUCUAUUAGCUAGUUGGAGAGGUAACGGCUCCCCAAGGCGACGAUAGAUAGGGGUUCUGAGAGGGAUAUCCCCCACACUGGUACUGAGAUACGGACCAGACUCCUACGGGAGGCAGCAGUGAGGAAUAUUGGACAAUGGUCGGAAGACUGAUCCAGCCAUGCCGCGUGCAGGAAGACGGCCUUAUGGGUUGUAAACUGCUUUUGCAGGGGAAGAAUAAGGACUACGAGUAGUUUGAUGACGGUACUCUGCGAAUAAGCAUCGGCUAACUCCGUG